Long non-coding RNA from Mus caroli (Ryukyu mouse), 489 nucleotides. RefSeq lists it as uncharacterized. The record is from RefSeq and is a predicted model, not a curated record. NCBI's taxonomy places the organism in Eukaryota, Metazoa, Chordata, Mammalia, Rodentia, Muridae.
CUGUGCAGUAGACCUUGGCUCAUCAGGAGUAAGAAACCAUGACAGAAAAAAGAUCAGCACAUCCCUGAGCCUUUACUGAAGAGACCGAGAGACGGAGUAAAGUACUUCAACUAACCAUGUCUUUCAGUCUGUCCUUGAGAGUGCAAAGAAGGGUUGUAGGAAGAGGAAACGUCAGAGGCUGCAAAGAAGAGGAAGAGGCAGAAAUAGGGAGAUUGGCAUAGGGCAAGGCAUAGGAUUUGGAGGCUUUGGUUUGAUCUAAAUGGUGGUCUGAUGGCUUUUCACUGGAAGAAAAAGGAGACCCUCUGAUCAUCUUUGUAGAGAGGAAGAGACAGGCAAAGGGAAGAUGGAUAAAGGAACGUAGUUUCAAAAUUAGUCUGGGAUCAGAAAGACUGGACAUGAAGGUCACUCCAUGUUAUAUACUCACUUCUGAAGAUAUGGAGCUGGAACCACAGAUGAAACAGAACACGAUGUCCAGAAGCUGCAUCCGAC